Molecule: ribosomal RNA, 2111 nt
Filed under: Salmonella enterica subsp. enterica serovar Telhashomer
Lineage: Bacteria; Pseudomonadati; Pseudomonadota; Gammaproteobacteria; Enterobacterales; Enterobacteriaceae
Description: partial 23S ribosomal RNA
Rfam family: Bacterial large subunit ribosomal RNA
Source: RNAcentral
AGACCCGAAACCCGGUGAUCUAGCCAUGGGCAGGUUGAAGGUUGGGUAACACUAACUGGAGGACCGAACCGACUAAUGUUGAAAAAUUAGCGGAUGACCUGUGGCUGGGGGUGAAAGGCCAAUCAAACCGGGAGAUAGCUGGUUCUCCCCGAAAGCUAUUUAGGUAGCGCCUCGUGAAUUCAUCUCCGGGGGUAGAGCACUGUUUCGGCUAGGGGGCCAUCCCGGCUUACCAACCCGAUGCAAACUGCGAAUACCGGAGAAUGUUAUCACGGGAGACACACGGCGGGUGCUAACGUCCGUCGUGAAGAGGGAAACAACCCAGACCGCCAGCUAAGGUCCCAAAGUCAUGGUUAAGUGGGAAACGAUGUGGGAAGGCCCAGACAGCCAGGAUGUUGGCUUAGAAGCAGCCAUCAUUUAAAGAAAGCGUAAUAGCUCACUGGUCGAGUCGGCCUGCGCGGAAGAUGUAACGGGGCUAAACCAUGCACCGAAGCUGCGGCAGCGACGCUUAUGCGUUGUUGGGUAGGGGAGCGUUCUGUAAGCCUGCGAAGGUGGCCUGUGAGGGUUGCUGGAGGUAUCAGAAGUGCGAAUGCUGACAUAAGUAACGAUAAAGCGGGUGAAAAGCCCGCUCGCCGGAAGACCAAGGGUUCCUGUCCAACGUUAAUCGGGGCAGGGUGAGUCGACCCCUAAGGCGAGGCCGAAAGGCGUAGUCGAUGGGAAACGGGUUAAUAUUCCCGUACUUGGUGUUACUGCGAAGGGGGGACGGAGAAGGCUAUGUUGGCCGGGCGACGGUUGUCCCGGUUUAAGCGUGUAGGUGUGUGUUCCAGGUAAAUCCGGUUCACUUUAACACUGAGGCGUGAUGACGAGGCACUACGGUGCUGAAGCAACAAAUGCCCUGCUUCCAGGAAAAGCCUCUAAGCAUCAGGUAACAUCAAAUCGUACCCCAAACCGACACAGGUGGUCAGGUAGAGAAUACCAAGGCGCUUGAGAGAACUCGGGUGAAGGAACUAGGCAAAAUGGUGCCGUAACUUCGGGAGAAGGCACGCUGACACGUAGGUGAAGUGAUUUACUCACGGAGCUGAAGUCAGUCGAAGAUACCAGCUGGCUGCAACUGUUUAUUAAAAACACAGCACUGUGCAAACACGAAAGUGGACGUAUACGGUGUGACGCCUGCCCGGUGCCGGAAGGUUAAUUGAUGGGGUCAGCGCAAGCGAAGCUCCUGAUCGAAGCCCCGGUAAACGGCGGCCGUAACUAUAACGGUCCUAAGGUAGCGAAAUUCCUUGUCGGGUAAGUUCCGACCUGCACGAAUGGCGUAAUGAUGGCCAGGCUGUCUCCACCCGAGACUCAGUGAAAUUGAACUCGCUGUGAAGAUGCAGUGUACCCGCGGCAAGACGGAAAGACCCCGUGAACCUUUACUAUAGCUUGACACUGAACAUUGAGCCUUGAUGUGUAGGAUAGGUGGGAGGCUUUGAAGCGUGGACGCCAGUCUGCGUGGAGCCGACCUUGAAAUACCACCCUUUAAUGUUUGAUGUUCUAACGUGGACCCGUGAUCCGGGUUGCGGACAGUGUCUGGUGGGUAGUUUGACUGGGGCGGUCUCCUCCUAAAGAGUAACGGAGGAGCACGAAGGUUGGCUAAUCCUGGUCGGACAUCAGGAGGUUAGUGCAAUGGCAUAAGCCAGCUUGACUGCGAGCGUGACGGCGCGAGCAGGUGCGAAAGCAGGUCAUAGUGAUCCGGUGGUUCUGAAUGGAAGGGCCAUCGCUCAACGGAUAAAAGGUACUCCGGGGAUAACAGGCUGAUACCGCCCAAGAGUUCAUAUCGACGGCGGUGUUUGGCACCUCGAUGUCGGCUCAUCACAUCCUGGGGCUGAAGUAGGUCCCAAGGGUAUGGCUGUUCGCCAUUUAAAGUGGUACGCGAGCUGGGUUUAGAACGUCGUGAGACAGUUCGGUCCCUAUCUGCCGUGGGCGCUGGAGAACUGAGGGGGGCUGCUCCUAGUACGAGAGGACCGGAGUGGACGCAUCACUGGUGUUCGGGUUGUCAUGCCAAUGGCACUGCCCGGUAGCUAAAUGCGGAAGAGAUAAGUGCUGAAAGCAUCUAAGCACGAAACUUGCCCCGA